RNAcentral lists this ribosomal RNA (888 nucleotides) under uncultured Methanosaeta sp. RNAcentral describes it as "bacterial SSU rRNA". It matches the Rfam family "Archaeal small subunit ribosomal RNA", at positions 18 to 907 of the family's 1478-position model. The record is from RNAcentral. Lineage: Archaea; Methanobacteriati; Methanobacteriota; Methanomicrobia; Methanotrichales; Methanotrichaceae.
CAGAGGUUACUGCUAUCGAGRUUSGACUAAGCCAUGCGAGUUGAAUGUUCUUCGUGAACAUGGCGGACUGCUCAGUAACACGUGGACAACCUACCCUUGGGUCCGGCAUAAUCCUGGGAAACUGGGAAUAAUUCCGGAUAGGUCACCGAUGCUGGAAUGCGCGGUGGCCGAAAGCUCCGGCGCCCGAGGAUGGGUCUGCGGCCUAUCAGGGUUGUAGUGGGUGUAACGUACCUACUAGCCUACGACGGGUACGGGUUGUGAGAGCAAGAGCCCGGAGAUGGAUUCUGAGACACGAAUCCAGGCCCUACGGGGUGCAGCAGGCGCGAAAACUUUACAAUGCGGGAAACCGUGAUAAGGGGAUCUCGAGUGCCAGCAUAUAAUGUUGGCUGUCCAGAUGCCUAAAAAGCAUCUGUUAGCAAGGGCCGGGCAAGACCGGUGCCAGCCGCCGCGGUAACACCGGCGGCCCGAGUGGUAACCGCUAUUAUUGGGUCUAAAGGGUCUGUAGCCGGCCAGGUAAGUCCCUUGGGAAAUCUGGCAGCUCAACUGUCAGGCUGCUAGGGGAUACUGUUUGGCUUGGGACCGGGAGAGGUGAGAGGUACCUUGGGGGUAGGGGUGAAAUCUUGUGAUCCUCGAGGGACCACCAGUGGCGAAGGCGUCUCACCAGAACGGGUCCGACGGUAAGGGACGAAAGCUAGGGGCACGAACCGGAUUAGAUACCCGGGUAGUCCUAGCCGUAAACGAUGCUCGCUAGGUGUCAGUCACGGUGCGACCGUGAUUGGUGCCGUAGGGAAGCCGUGAAGCGAGCCACCUGGGAAGUAUGGCCGCAAGGCUGAAACUUAAAGGAAUUGGCGGGGGAGCACUACAWCSGGUGGAGCCUGCGGUUUAUUG